GAUGAACGCUGGCGGCGUGCCUAAUACAUGCAAGUCGAGCGAACGGACGAGAAGCUUGCUUUUCUGAUGUUAGCGGCGGACGGGUGAGUAACACGUGGAUAACCUACCUAUAAGACUGGGAUAACUUCGGGAAACCGGAGCUAAUACCGGAUAAUAUUUUGAACCGCAUGGUUCAAAAGUGAAAGACGGUCUUGCUGUCACUUAUAGAUGGAUCCGCGCUGCAUUAGCUAGUUGGUAAGGUAACGGCUUACCAAGGCAACGAUGCAUAGCCGACCUGAGAGGGUGAUCGGCCACACUGGAACUGAGACACGGUCCAGACUCCUACGGGAGGCAGCAGUAGGGAAUCUUCCGCAAUGGGCGAAAGCCUGGCGGAGCAACGCCGCGUGAGUGAUGAAGGUCUUCGGAUCGUAAAACUCUGUUAUUAGGGAAGAACAUAUGUGUAAGUAACUGUGCGCAUCUUGACGGUACCUAAUCAGAAAGCCACGGCUAACUACGUG
RNAcentral lists this ribosomal RNA (497 nucleotides) under uncultured bacterium. RNAcentral's name for it is "partial 16S ribosomal RNA". It matches the Rfam family "Bacterial small subunit ribosomal RNA", at positions 28 to 507 of the family's 1533-position model. The record is from RNAcentral.